This 254-nucleotide ribosomal RNA is filed under the name uncultured bacterium. Its description in RNAcentral is "partial 16S ribosomal RNA". It matches the Rfam family "Bacterial small subunit ribosomal RNA", at positions 524 to 776 of the family's 1533-position model. The record is from RNAcentral.
UACGGAGGGUGCGAGCGUUGUCCGGAAUCACUGGGCGUAAAGGGCGCGUAGGCGGCUCAUGAAGGCUGUGGUGAAAGUCCGGGGCUCAACCUCGGAUCGGCCGUGGCGACUCCGUGGCUCGGAGCACUGUAGAGGCAGGUGGAAUUCCGGGUGUAGCGGUGGAAUGCGUAGAGAUCCGGAAGAACACCGGUGGCGAAGGCGGCCUGCUGGGCAGUAGCUGACGCUGAGGCGCGACAGCGUGGGGAGCAAACAGG